GUGGCGAACGGGUGAGUAACACGUGAGUAACCUGCCCUUAACUCUGGGAUAAGCCUGGGAAACUGGGUCUAAUACCGGAUAUGACUCCUCAUCGCAUGGUGGGGGGUGGAAAGCUUUUUGUGGUUUUGGAUGGACUCGCGGCCUAUCAGCUUGUUGGUGAGGUAAUGGCUCACCAAGGCGACGACGGGUAGCCGGCCUGAGAGGGUGACCGGCCACACUGGGACUGAGACACGGCCCAGACUCCUACGGGAGGCAGCAGUGGGGAAUAUUGCACAAUGGGCGAAAGCCUGAUGCAGCGACGCCGCGUGAGGGAUGACGGCCUUCGGGUUGUAAACCUCUUUCAGUAGGGAAGAAGCGAAAGUGACGGUACCUGCAGAAGAAGCGCCGGCUAACUACGUGCCAGCAGCCGCGGUAAUACGUAGGGCGCAAGCGUUAUCCGGAAUUAUUGGGCGUAAAGAGCUCGUAGGCGGUUUGUCGCGUCUGCCGUGAAAGUCCGGGGCUCAACUCCGGAUCUGCGGUGGGUACGGGCAGACUAGAGUGAUGUAGGGGAGACUGGAAUUCCUGGUGUAGCGGUGAAAUGCGCAGAUAUCAGGAGGAACACCGAUGGCGAAGGCAGGUCUCUGGGCAUUAACUGACGCUGAGGAGCGAAAGCAUGGGGAGCGAACAGGAUUAGAUACCCUGGUAGUCCAUGCCGUAAACGUUGGGCACUAGGUGUGGGGGACAUUCCACGUUUUCCGCGCCGUAGCUAACGCAUUAAGUGCCCCGCCUGGGGAGUACGGCCGCAAGGCUAAAACUCAAAGGAAUUGACGGGGGCCCGCACAAGCGGCGGAGCAUGCGGAUUAAUUCGAUGCAACGCGAAGAACCUUACCAAGGCUUGACAUGGGCCGGACCGGGCUGGAAACAGUCCUUCCCCUUUGGGGCCGGUUCACAGGUGGUGCAUGGUUGUCGUCAGCUCGUGUCGUGAGAUGUUGGGUUAAGUCCCGCAACGAGCGCAACCCUCGUUCCAUGUUGCCAGCGCGUAAUGGCGGGGACUCAUGGGAGACUGCCGGGGUCAACUCGGAGGAAGGUGGGGACGACGUCAAAUCAUCAUGCCCCUUAUGUCUUGGGCUUCACGCAUGCUACAAUGGCCGGUACAAAGGGUUGCGAUACUGUGAGGUGGAGCUAAUCCCAAAAAGCCGGUCUCAGUUCGGAUUGGGGUCUGCAACUCGACCCC
RNAcentral lists this ribosomal RNA (1213 nucleotides) under Arthrobacter oryzae. RNAcentral's name for it is "bacterial SSU rRNA". It matches the Rfam family "Bacterial small subunit ribosomal RNA", at positions 95 to 1319 of the family's 1533-position model. The record is from RNAcentral. Lineage: Bacteria; Bacillati; Actinomycetota; Actinomycetes; Micrococcales; Micrococcaceae.